Molecule: ribosomal RNA, 440 nt
Filed under: uncultured bacterium
Lineage: Bacteria
Description: partial 16S ribosomal RNA
Rfam family: Bacterial small subunit ribosomal RNA
Source: RNAcentral
CCUAAGGGAGGCAGCAGUGGGGGAUAUUGCACAAUGGGGGAAACCCUGAUGCAGCGACGCCGCGUGAGUGAAGAAGUAUUUCGGUAUGUAAAGCUCUAUCAGCAGGGAAGAAAAUGACGGUACCUGAUUAAGAAGCCCCGGCGAACUACGUGCCAGCAGCCGCGGUAAUACGUAGGGGGCAAGUGUUAGCCGGAUUUACUGGGUGUAAAGGGGGCGUAGACGGCAGCACAAGUCUGGAGUGAAAUGCCGGGGCUUAACCCCGGAACUGCUUUGGAAACUGUGCAGCUAGAGUGCAGGAGAGGUAAGUGGAAUUCCUAGUGUAGCGGUGAAAUGCGUAGAUAUUAGGAGGAACACCAGUGGCGAAGGCGGCUUACUGGACUGUAACUGACGUUGAUGCUCGAAAGCGUGGGGAGCAAACAGGAUUAGAUACCCCUGUAGUC